RNAcentral lists this ribosomal RNA (253 nucleotides) under uncultured bacterium. Its description in RNAcentral is "partial 16S ribosomal RNA". It matches the Rfam family "Bacterial small subunit ribosomal RNA", at positions 524 to 776 of the family's 1533-position model. The record is from RNAcentral.
UACGUCGGGGGCAAGCGUUGUCCGGAUUUAUUGGGCGUAAAGCGCUCGCAGGUGGUUCAUUGCGUCGUGCGUGAAAGACCCCGGCUCAACUGGGGAGGGUCGUGCGAAACGGGUGAACUAGAGGCCAGUAGGGGGAUGCGGAAUUCCGGGUGUAGUGGUGGAAUGCGUAGAGAUCGGGAGGAACACCAGUGGCGAAGGCGGCUACCUGGACCAGCACUGACACUGAGGCACGAAAGCGUGGGGAGCAAACAGG